RNAcentral lists this ribosomal RNA (492 nucleotides) under uncultured bacterium. Its description in RNAcentral is "partial 16S ribosomal RNA". It matches the Rfam family "Bacterial small subunit ribosomal RNA", at positions 29 to 507 of the family's 1533-position model. The record is from RNAcentral.
AGUGAACGCUGGCGGUAUGCCUAACACAUGCAAGUCGAACGGCAGCACAGUAAGAGCUUGCUCUUACGGGUGGCGAGUGGCGGACGGGUGAGGAAUACAUCGGAAUCUACUUUUUCGUGGGUGAUAACGUAGGGAAACUUACGCUACUACCGCAUACGACCUACGGGUUAAAUCAGGAGUUCUUCGGACCUUUCGCGAUUGAAUUAGACGGCGUCGGAUUAGCUAGUUGGCGUGGUAAAGGCACACCAAGGCGACGAUCCGUAGCUGAUCUGAGAGGAUGAUCAGCCACACUGGAACUGAGACACGGUCCAGACUCCUACGGGAGGCAGCAGUAGGGAAUAUUCCGCAAUGGGCGAAAGCCUGACGGAGCAACGCCGCGUGAGUGAUGAAGGUCUUCGGAUCGUAAAACUCUGUUAUUAGGAAAGAACAAAUGUGUAAGUAACUAUGGACGUCUUGACGGUACCUAAACAGAAAGCAACGGCUAACUUCGUG